GACGAACGCUGGCGGCGUGCUUAACACAUGCAAGUCGAACGAUGAAGCCGGAGCUUGCUCCGGUGGAUUAGUGGCGAACGGGUGAGUAACACGUGAGCAAUCUGCCCUUGACUCUGGGAUAACUGCGGGAAACUGUAGCUAAUACCGGAUACGACACCUUGGGGCAUCCUAGGGUGUGGAAAGAAUUUCGGUCAAGGAUGAGCUCGCGGCCUAUCAGCUAGUUGGUGAGGUAAUGGCUCACCAAGGCGACGACAGGUAGCCGGCCUGAGAGGGUGACCGGCCACACUGGAACUGAGACACGGUCCAGACUCCUACGGGAGGCAGCAGUGGGGAAUAUUGCACAAUGGGCGAAAGCCUGAUGCAGCAACGCCGCGUGAGGGAUGAAGGCCUUCGGGUUGUAAACCUCUUUUAGCAGGGAAGCAGCGAAAGUGACGGUACCUGCAGAAAAAGCACCGGCUAACUACGUGCCAGCCGACGCCGUAA
RNAcentral lists this ribosomal RNA (483 nucleotides) under uncultured bacterium. RNAcentral's name for it is "partial 16S ribosomal RNA". It matches the Rfam family "Bacterial small subunit ribosomal RNA", at positions 28 to 523 of the family's 1533-position model. The record is from RNAcentral.